Molecule: long non-coding RNA, 984 nt
Organism: Grammomys surdaster
Lineage: Eukaryota; Metazoa; Chordata; Mammalia; Rodentia; Muridae
Exons: 3
Source: RefSeq, a predicted model, not a curated record
GACACCCCAUUUGAUUAUUUCUGCUGGCUCACAGGUUGCCUGAGGGAAGUGAACCCUGGAAAGGACUUCCUGCAGCCAGAUAAUCCAAUCCCAGCAGCCUCCCCUGUUAUCUCUUCUGGAUGUUUCUGGCUUCACUGUUGGAACCUGGAGCACUAGAUUUCACUGCUGGUUCCACAGAGAUAUCCUUGCUCACGUCCAGCUGAUGAGGAGCUCAGAGAACAUAGAUACUUCCAAUAGUCACCCAACAUUUAUUCCUGUGCAUUCCUGAGUACUCCCUAGCUAGGUCUCCUUAUGCAAAUUAUUUAUCAUCUGGGGCUUCAGUUUUCUUUUCUGUAAAAUGGGAUCAUUACAGCACACCCUUCACUGGGUUGCUCUGGGAAGUGACCUCAUGUAUAUCCGUGCUGUCACCCAUUCUGUCUACAUCACUUAGUACUUUAGUGGUGAAACAGAACCUAGGGUUUCACACUGAGGUACAAUCCUCCAUUCUUCUAGACUGCCACGACCACCCCAGGAAGCUCAAAGCUCACGAGUACUUAAGCAACUUUGAUAUUUGGGAGAGCACUACCCCAAAUUUUACCCCAUGGAAUGCUGAUUCAACAGAACUUUUACAGAAGACAAAAGUCAACCCGACAAACAGGAUCUUAGAAAGUGCUGUGGUGACUCUACCCUUGUGAAUAGUUCUCAGCUUGGAGACUUUCUCAUCUGGGAAGCCCCUCCUCACUACCUGUACCCAUCCCAAGUCCUCUCAGCACUUCUAAGGCCAGUUGCCAGCAAUUACCACAUGCCACUUGUUGGCAAUAUGCCUAUAAAUCAAGUGGACUCCUCUGAUGGAAGAGUGGGCCUCAUGUGCACAUGGAGGCUUGUAUACCACCACUCUUCCCUGGGACAUCAGAGCCAUGGUCAGCCUGUCAACCAGCCUUAUCUCCUCCAACAGUUUCAUCAGUCACCCUCUCUUCAGUUGCUGGUAAACUUGUACAUAUUUUA